This 76-nucleotide transfer RNA is filed under the name Bradyrhizobium japonicum. Its description in RNAcentral is "tRNA-Trp (CCA) (tRNA-Trp-CCA-1-1)". It matches the Rfam family "tRNA". From Rfam's summary of the family: Transfer RNA (tRNA) molecules are approximately 80 nucleotides in length. Their secondary structure includes four short double-helical elements and three loops (D, anti-codon, and T loops). RNAcentral also lists the same sequence under 721 other names. The record is from RNAcentral. Lineage: Bacteria; Pseudomonadati; Pseudomonadota; Alphaproteobacteria; Hyphomicrobiales; Nitrobacteraceae.
AGGAGUGUAGCUCAAUUGGUAGAGCACCGGUCUCCAAAACCGGGGGUCGCAGGUUCGAGCCCUGCCACUCCUGCCA